RNAcentral lists this ribosomal RNA (239 nucleotides) under uncultured bacterium. RNAcentral describes it as "partial 16S ribosomal RNA". It matches the Rfam family "Bacterial small subunit ribosomal RNA", at positions 15 to 245 of the family's 1533-position model. The record is from RNAcentral.
GAUCAUGGCUCAGGAUGAACGCUAGCUACAGGCUUACCACAUGCAAGUCGAGUGGCAGCGGGAUUGAAGCUUGCUUCAAUUGCCGGCGACCGGCGCACGGGUGAGUAACGCGUAUCCAACCUUCCGCUUACUCGCGGAUAGCCUUUCGAAAGAAAGAUUAAUACCCGAUGGUAUCUUAAGCACGCAUGAGAUUAAGAUUAAAGAUUUAUCGGUAAGCGAUGGGGAUGCGUUCCAUUAGG